UGUGUUAGACAGUUCACGAUUGUGUAUUAGUUAAGGUUACUCGAUUUUGGGAAUAGUGUGUAAAUUUUAAUGUAUAAACAAUCUAUGUUUAUAUCUUCCGCAAACAGUUGUAGAAUGAUUGAACCGGAUCCGCGGCGAUUCGGGACCCGGAUCUGGGGAUGCUACAGUACGAAUAUUCCCCGGCAGAAAGAAUAUUCUACGACCAAACAAAUAUUCCCCGACAACAAUGAAUAAU
This 235-nucleotide long non-coding RNA is filed under the name Panax ginseng (ginseng). Its description in RNAcentral is "long non-coding RNA (PGIN_LNC018177)". Lineage: Eukaryota; Viridiplantae; Streptophyta; Magnoliopsida; Apiales; Araliaceae. The record is from RNAcentral.